Molecule: small nuclear RNA, 199 nt
Organism: Rhinopithecus roxellana (golden snub-nosed monkey)
Lineage: Eukaryota; Metazoa; Chordata; Mammalia; Primates; Cercopithecidae
Product: U2 spliceosomal RNA
Exons: 1
Source: RefSeq, a predicted model, not a curated record
AUUGCUUCUCAGCCUUUUGGCUAAGAUCAAGUGACAGAGGAUACUCAGAAGUAUGGGGUAAUGGGAGGGAGGUGGAUGAUAAGAAAUUAUUUAAUGGGUACAAUGUACAUUAUCCUGAUUUUUUUUUUAAUGGAGUUUUGCUCUUAUCUCCCAGGUUGCAGUGCAAUGGCACGAUCUCGGCUCACUGCAACCUCUACUC